AUGGCGUUCGAUGUGUCAAUGCUGGUGGAUCGGGGUCUCUCAUGGUCGGAUCAGGGUUUGAGUGUCGUCCUUGAGCUGCCAUUGUCAUUGCCAUCUUCGCCUCGCCUCAGGUGCCUCCUCCUAGCUCUUUCCCUCCUUCCCGUUUUCUUUCCAGCCAAGCGUGUCUGGGUCGUUGAUUUCGUCCUUCGUUGUCUUAGACUCAGCUCGGUUGUCUCCUUCUACCUCUCUUCCUCCUCCCAUGCUCCGGCGAGCUCAAGGCCAAUGGUGACGGAAAGGAUGAAAUGGACACUGCCUCCCUUGUCAUUCCACCCUUCCGAUCUAGUGUAG
This 327-nucleotide ribosomal RNA is filed under the name Triticum aestivum (bread wheat). RNAcentral's name for it is "partial small subunit ribosomal RNA". The record is from RNAcentral. Lineage: Eukaryota; Viridiplantae; Streptophyta; Magnoliopsida; Poales; Poaceae.